Molecule: unclassified non-coding RNA, 1358 nt
Filed under: Leishmania donovani
Lineage: Eukaryota; Euglenozoa; Kinetoplastea; Trypanosomatida; Trypanosomatidae
Description: gene:LdHU3.36.1790(CDS-product:adenylate_kinase_p utative)
Source: RNAcentral
AGCUGCCCAGCCACCUACCACUCUGUUUGGCUAGCCUCGGUUCGUUAGUUUCUCUCGGUAGCCCCAUUGCGAGUUUGCCCCCUUCCUCCUUCCUCAUCGUGUGUAUCUGGUAAAACGUUAUCUUUUACUUUGCCGCGUCCCACACCCCGAUCUCUUCAGUGCUGCCGACUCGCCGCCACCUGCCUCGCUCGUUCGUACAGCGGCCUUUGUUCAUGAGCGGCUCUCCGUACAUUGUGUGUGCCCACUAGCCGGUACACACUAGGAGCCGCACGUUUGUUGUUGCGUAUAUGGUUUUGCGUAUGUGUGGACUGUAUGUGUGUGCGCAACCGAGGAUCGACUUGCAGCAAGUAGCAGGCGAGAGGACCUGUGCGCCAUGCCGCUGUUUAUCAUUCUGUUUGGCCCCCCUGGCAGCGGAAAGGGGACGGUGAGCCAUCUGCUCGUGAAAGAGUACGGAUUUGUCCACUUGAGUGCCGGUAAUCUGCUACGCGAAGAAGUGCUCAAAAAGUCUCCGCUAGGGCUGAGGUGUGCAGAAAUCAUGUCCGAAGGGUCCCUGAUCCCGGACGAGCUCGUCGUCGACCUCGUGUGCAACCGACUGAGUGAGCCGGCUGUGCAGAAGCACGGCAUCUUGCUUGACGGCUUUCCACGGACCCUGCGGCAGGCAGAGGUGCUCAGGGCGCGCGGCUUCAAGUUUGACAUGAUGAUUUUGCUGGACGUGUCGCCGGAGAUUUUGCUCAACCGAUGCCUUUCCCGUCGCCUCGACCCGGUGACGGGGCGCAUUUACAACCUCAAGAGCGACCCGCCUUCGCCGGACGUUGUGGACCGUCUUCAGAUCCGCUCUGACGACACGAAAGAGAAGCACGAGCGUCGCAUGCAGAUCUACAACAGUCAGAAGGCAACUCUCAUCGCUCAUUACUCUGACAUCAUUAUUGAGAUCGAUGCGGACCCGGAGAUCAACGUAGUCUUCAAGGAGCUGCAAAAGAAAAUCAACAAGCGGUUGCAGGGCACCACCACGCAGGUCCCUCUGGCAAAGCUGUAGGGUGGCGAAGGAUGCACACAGGCGCAAACACACGCACACGCGUGCGCACACGAUGGCUACUGCCACGGUGACAAGAGCAGGAAGAAGGGACUCGAUACUGGCCAUUCAGCCAGCAAACUGGUGGCAGUUACGGAGAUGCUGUUUCUCUCCCACCUCUCUCCUCCGUCGUUGGGGCGAUACCGCAGUGAUCGCUCCUCCCCUCCUCCUCUCCCGAUUUCCAGUGGAUUCGCGGUGUAGGCUUGUUCGGCACCGUUCCACUUUUACAUUUUGACUCUCUCGCCCUCUCGCUGCCCUACUUCCGUGCGUUUCUCUUGUCUCAUAG